RNAcentral lists this ribosomal RNA (484 nucleotides) under uncultured organism. RNAcentral's name for it is "bacterial SSU rRNA". It matches the Rfam family "Bacterial small subunit ribosomal RNA", at positions 29 to 507 of the family's 1533-position model. The record is from RNAcentral.
AUUGAACGCUGGCGGCAUGCUUUACACAUGCAAGUCGAACGGCAGCACGGGGGCAACCCUGGUGGCGAGUGGCGAACGGGUGAGUAAUGCAUCGGAACGUACCCAGUCGUGGGGGAUAACGCAGCGAAAGUUGUGCUAAUACCGCAUACGACCUGAGGGUGAAAGCGGGGGACCGUAAGGCCUCGCGCGAUUGGAGCGGCCGAUGUCUGAUUAGCUAGUUGGUGGGGUAAAGGCCCACCAAGGCGACGAUCAGUAGCGGGUCUGAGAGGAUGAUCCGCCACACUGGGACUGAGACACGGCCCAGACUCCUACGGGAGGCAGCAGUGGGGAAUUUUGGACAAUGGGGGCAACCCUGAUCCAGCCAUGCCGCGUGCGGGAAGAAGGCCUUCGGGUUGUAAACCGCUUUCGGACGGAAAGAAAUCGCAUGGGUUAAUACCCUGUGUGGAUGACGGUACCGUAAGAAGAAGCACCGGCUAACUACGUG